Lynx canadensis (Canada lynx) is the source of this 1150-nucleotide long non-coding RNA. RefSeq lists it as uncharacterized. The transcript has 3 exons. The record is from RefSeq and is a predicted model, not a curated record. Lineage: Eukaryota; Metazoa; Chordata; Mammalia; Carnivora; Felidae.
UAGAAGACAGCAGGAGGACGGAGGGGAAAAUGGCUGGGCCCUGGAGAGGCACAACUUGCCAAGUCUUAAACCGACUUUCUGAGCACGAAUGAAAUCCAAACCCCUGGGUGUGGGGGCUGCUUUACACUGGCCUGAGGUGAUUUCCUGUUUUUGAAGAAAAGAGGUGGGUAGGAAGCUCAGAGACAUGUUCUGGGCACCAGGCAGCUUUGACAAAACAGCCCUCUCCUGACUUCAGCAUAACUGGGGCAGAUAUGGCAAGAUAGAAUUACUCCGUGGGCAAGAAGUUUUCAAAACCAGGCAGGCUCUGUGCUUAGUAGAGGGGACGAUGCCAGCUCCGGGGGGUUGGGCUCUGGGGGCCUGAACAGGGCGGGCACGGGCACUUAGCGAGCUCACAGGCCGGCCAGCGUCGGCCGCCUUUGCUCAGUGCGGAACAAAGCAAGCGGCACAGAGAGAAACUGAGAGCGAGAGACCAGUGUCAGUCAGCCGCCGCUGCUGGGGGCUGGCUUUCUUGCUGUGUAUUCCUUGCUUACUCCCCGGAAAAAGCCUCACGGUGCACAGGCUGUUGAGCAGGUGCCGUGGGACCGAAGUGCACACUACCGGUUCAGUAGGGCAGCAGCCCACUCUGGAUUUUCCCGGCAGGACCCGGUUUCAGGUUGCCCCUCCAAAGCCGCCCUACAUGGAGGAAAGAAAAGACAUGACACACAUUACAAGAGACUUGACUUCUGAGAAAUCCUCUCAUUCCUGCAGGGGAGAAAUUUUGUUUUUCAAGAGCUGUUUUCUCAUAAAGACCAAAGUCUUCGCAGUUUGGAUCUCAGCGUUUGAGUCUUUUCUUUUUCUUUUCAUGAUGAGAAAACCGAGACCCAGAGGGAGUUACCAACCUUCACUGCUGGUGAUCGGCGGAACCAGAUUUGAAACUUCAUGGUGUAACGUGGGGCCUAGGCUCAUCACACCCUGUGCUGCCUCCCACAUUCUCCGGGCUGGGCCCCCGGAGCACUGAGAAGAAAAUGGCAACUGUUUAACUCUGAGCCCAGCACAAAAUAAAUGCUCAAGAAACAGUAGCCAUAAUCAGGUUCCCGUCCUUGGUCAACCACUUGCAUAUGCAUGACCGUAGGCAAAACAUUGUGGCUUCUCUGUGCCUCGAUUUCCUCAC